Molecule: long non-coding RNA, 1563 nt
Organism: Notothenia coriiceps (black rockcod)
Lineage: Eukaryota; Metazoa; Chordata; Actinopteri; Perciformes; Nototheniidae
Exons: 2
Source: RefSeq, a predicted model, not a curated record
UAACAGACAUUUCCUUUGUUUCUCCGCAGCCUCCUCCCUGUGAAGCAGGGCAUCAUGCUGGGCCAAUACCUGGGAGCCUUCAGCCUCAUGGACCACUUCACGGGACGCGCCAUCAAAAAGCAGGAGUGACCGAGGGGAGAGGACGAUAUGAAGCUAAGAGACAUGGAAACAUUACAGGCAUCAAAGCCAAUUUAAUCUUAAUGGUCCCAGUGUAUGAAGUAAUAGAGGUGAGGGCAGAACAUAAUGCUGAUCCUCUCAUUUCAAUUAAACAGUAUAUCUCACUGUAUAAUCCAGCUUGUAAGCUCUCAUAUCCUUAACGUACUUUUUUUAAUGUAUAUAUAAUUGGUGAAAUUCAAAUGUAAUCUUAUGAACAGUUUGUAUUUGAUUAGUGCUCAGAAGUUUCAGGCAGCCAGUGUCCUUAUACAACUCCUAGACAUGUUAACAGCAAGUCAUAAAGACAGGAAACAUGGGUCCAAAGUCAAGUGUGAUGUUUUCUAAAAUCCCCUUACCUGCUGUGUACGUAGUGCUACAGCUCAGGUGGAAACAACACAGAUGUUUCUUCUUCUGCUGUCAGAGAAGCAAGUCAGUGUACUAAUGACUAUAAAGUACACUGCUCUAAUAAUUGUAGACAGGGCUCAUUAUCUCUUACAAUUCGAAGAAAUACAAAAAUCCAGCAUUAAUAAAAUGCAACCUCUAUCACUAGUAUGUGCUGAGAACAAGUGAGAUGUAAAGUUUAAGUGUACAAAUAUCAAUAUACACUUAUUACGCAGACAUUUAAUCUGGUAUCAUGCCAUAUGAGCGCAUUUGUGAACGUUUAGAGUUUAAAUGUUCAUCUGGCUCAGUGUUUGCAGUCUAAAUCCUUUCACCUUAAAAAGCAAUUGCUCUUACUCAGGAACAGCGGACCCUGCCUCAGGAUUUAAAUGUGAUACCCUUGAUAUAUCUUCACCUUGUAAAAAGGGGACACAUCUUCAACUCCUUUAUUCCCGUCCAUCUUUAAUCCUUUAUUCGCAAUUUGCUAGCAGCGCAUUAGCAUGCUACAGCUAGCCGCAGAGUGUGGAGCCCCCUCUGCUAUUCUUAUUCUUUCCAUUCAUUCAUGAAAGCCUGGUAAGCACAGAAUGUGAACACACUGUCAAACCACUAACCUUGCUAGUGCUUCAUAUACAUAUAUAACUAUAUAUGUAACAGUAUGGUGCGUGUGUGUAGUCAGGAAGUGUGUGUUGUCCUUAUUGCCACAUUAAUGAUCCUAUCAAUACAAGUAUAUUGUAACGAUUAUAAUACUUAUAUGUAUCAUGAAUCAACCGUUGUUUUAAUCAAACAAUGUGUCAUAUUUAAUAUGUAACAGUAGUUGAUGCUUUUAUAUUGAACAACCUGUGUAAAGUCAUCCUAGCUGUUGAUGACAUUGAAGUUAUUGAAAUGAAGAAUGCACCUGUUGCCUUCAUCAUGCUAACACUGAAGGACAUGAGAUGUCAAAGAGAUGCAUUAAAAAGAAGGUUUGAAGUCAGAACCAUCCCUCAGCUUGAAUGUUUUGUGAAUUAUUAUCAAUAAAUAACCAUUUGUACGUUG